Molecule: ribosomal RNA, 373 nt
Filed under: uncultured bacterium
Lineage: Bacteria
Description: bacterial SSU rRNA
Rfam family: Bacterial small subunit ribosomal RNA
Source: RNAcentral
GUUGAACGCUGGCGGCAUGCCUUACACAUGCAAGUCGAACGGCAGCACGGGGGCAACCCUGGUGGCGAGUGGCGAACGGGUGAGUAAUGCAUCGGAACGUGCCCCGUAGCGGGGGAUAACCAGUCGAAAGACUGGCUAAUACCGCAUACGCUCCACGGAGGAAAGCAGGGGAUCGCAAGACCUUGCACUGUGGGAGCGGCCGAUGCCCGAUUAGCUAGUUGGUGAGGAAAGGCUCACCAAGGCGACGAUCGGUAGCUGGUUUGAGAGAACGACCAGCCACACUGGGACUGAGACACGGCCCAGACUCCUACGGGAGGCAGCAGUGGGGAAUUUUGGACAAUGGGCGCAAGCCUGAUCCAGCCAUGCCGCGUGC